Molecule: ribosomal RNA, 482 nt
Filed under: uncultured bacterium
Lineage: Bacteria
Description: partial 16S ribosomal RNA
Rfam family: Bacterial small subunit ribosomal RNA
Source: RNAcentral
GAUGAACGCUAGCGGCAGGCCUAAUACAUGCAAGUCGGACGGGAUUCAGGAGCUUGCUUCUGAUGAGAGUGGCGCACGGGUGCGUAACACGUAUGUAACCUACCUUUAUCAGGGGGAUAGCCUCUCGAAAGAGAGAUUAAGCCCGCAUAAAAUCACAGCACAGCAUUGUGUAAUGAUCAAAUAUUUAUAGGAUAAAGAUGGGCAUGCGGAACAUUAGCUAGAUGGCGGGGUAACGGCCCACCAUGGCGACGAUGUUUAGGGGAUCUGAGAGGAUGGCCCCCCACACUGGUACUGAGACACGGACCAGAAUCCUACGGGAGGCAGCAGUAAGGAAUAUUGGUCAAUGGGCGGAAGCCUGAACCAGCCAUGCCGCGUGCAGGAAGACGGCCCUACGGGUUGUAAACUGCUUUUAGACGGGAAUAAACCCAGAUACGUGUAUCUGGCUGAAUGUACUGUAAGAAUAAGGAUCGGCUAACUCCGUG